CCGGGACACCAACACCAUCAGGUUGCUCUCCUUGUCCACGCGGUACCGCCGUACGUACACGUAGUCCCGGGAGUACAUGGGGUACGGGAAGUGCGUGACCCAAUGGAUCACCUCGGAUCCGGUGGCCGCAUCCCUCUCUAUGACGUCCAGUUUGAUGACCAACGAGUCCCAUUUCUUCCUGUAUUCGGUGUCCAGCUGCACAUUGAAGAACUGCCGGGGGGUCACAUCCGUGUACGUCCCAAACACUCGGUAUUGGUACAGAUGGGUGCCCUCGAUGGGCCGCCGCCACAGCUUGAAGUGCUUCUUAUCCAUCACCAUCUCCCAGGGCUGCUCGCCGGGGGGGGGGGGACGCGGCGUCCCGCUCUGCGGUGGGCUCCACGUGGGGGUCCUCAGCCAAAGCGCCGCCCUGCAGUGGGACGGCCGCGUUCUGCAUGCGCUGCAUCUCCUGGGCUGAGCGCUGCAGCUCCUCCUCCUCGAUGCGCUGCCCGUCCCACACGAAGACCCCGGCCAGGGUGGCCAUGAGGCGGCCGGUGGCGGCGGCGAGGGCGGGGCGGCCGCGGAACGCCCCCCCCCGCCACCACUCACCCCACCCCCCUCCUCCUCCUCCUCCGCCUCCUCCGCCGCGCCGCGCCCCCUCCGCUCCGCCGCCGCUGCCGAGCUGCCAGGCCCGCCGCGCCCUCCGCGCCCGCUGCCCGCUCACGCAGCCGCACUGCCGCGCCAGCAGGCCCAGCAGGCCGCGCCGCCCCGCCUCACCGCCGCUAGGAGAGGCGGAGGGAGGCGGGCGGGGCCCAGGCGGGAGGCCCGGGCGCAACGGGCGAGCAGGCCGAGCAGCGGCCGCCGCGGCUGCAACAUGCCGCCGCUCUGCGCGGGCCGCGUCGCGCCCCCUUGUGCGUCAUCAGGCGGCGACGCGCCGCCGAUUGGAUGCCGGGGUCUCCGCCACGCCCAUUGGGUGAUACCGCCACCGCCCCGCGCGCUG
RNAcentral lists this long non-coding RNA (976 nucleotides) under Gallus gallus (chicken). The record is from RNAcentral. Lineage: Eukaryota; Metazoa; Chordata; Aves; Galliformes; Phasianidae.